UCACUUCCCCGAGUAAAGAGUGUGAGACAUCACAUCGAGAAUGCAAUUCCAAAUCUGUAACGUGUAAUUUUACACUAUCAGAAGGAGGGACACGUUCAAUCUCAGUCUUUAAAAAGAUGUCUGGCAACGAAGGGGUGUGUGUGUGUAAAACAAUAACAUGCAUGAUGUAUAUUAUGAUCAGAUCGUAUACGUGAUUAUAAGCAGAUUAUACCUCUAAUCUUAUAAGGGAUUAAAAAUGGAAACCGAGCUUCGGCACAUCAGUAAUAAUAAUAAUAAGUGGUAUGACGUGAUCAGUGGAUCGAUGAGGCUCUCUCUGAGUCACCAGAUCUCACUCUGAGAGAUCUGGUGGAAAGUCAGAGUUAUAGAGUUAUAGUGCUGAGAAAAGUUUGUAAAGAAAAAAUAAAAGUGUUUUUAUAAGGUUUUCAUUUCUUUGAUUCACCCUCGUAUAUUAAUGCACUUGUUCUUACAUGUUAUCGUUCCUAUAGUAGCUGAUAAUCAAGGAUGGGGUUGUGUGAUGCGUUACCAUGACCACCUGCUAUUGUUAUGCGUGUGUACAUAAUACGGGAACGCUUUAAGUGACCAUUCCCAUAAUAGUUUAUGAUUUCUGAGGCCCUCAUUGUAUCUGCAUUAUUAUAACGUAUUGCACUGGGGAGCUGUUUACCAAACAGUCAGUAAACCCUGCUGGAAGUGUUUUUUUAUUUAUUUUAUUUUUAUUAAAAAAAAAUUUUUUUUUUGCCCCCUAUCACUUUCUGUGCGAGGGUGGAGUGAGUGUUCUCAGUCCCGUCUCGGGCUGAACCAUCACAGCUCUAUUAAAAUUGUCAUCAAGUCUGAACAUUAGAACCCAGCUUCCUUUUUUUUCAAGAACACACUAUAUGGCCAAAAGUUUGUGGACACCUGACCGUCACACCCGUACAGUAUACUCUUGUUGAACAUCCCCUUCCAGAUGUAUUUCCCCUUUGCUGUUACAAUAGAGUCCACUCUUCUGGCCAGUAAAGUUCUUCUGCAUCAACCUUAACACACUGUGUCUUCAUGGAGCUGGGUUUGUGUACAGGGGCGUUGUGAUGCUGGAACCGGUUUGGGUCUAUUAGUUCCAGUGAAGGGAAAUUGUAACGCUACAGCGUACAGAGACGUUCUAUACAGCUGUGUGGCAACAGUUCAGGGAAGAAGCACAUGUGGGUGUUAUGGUCAGGCGUCCAUAUACUUUUGGUUACAUGGUAUAUCAUGUUUAUGCUGUAAUGAAGAUUCAGUGAACUGCAGGCUGGUGACUGAUUUCAGCACCAAGGACAGCACCAGCUGAGGCCUGAGUCACUAUGAGAGGCCGAGAGAAACAAGUCUCUCUCUCCAUUUCUUUAUCUCUUUCUGUCUGACUGAUUGUCUUUCCAUCUCUCUCUUGAUCGGUCUCUGUCUCACACUCUGUGUAUGUGUGUCUCACUGUUGUCUCUAUCUCGGUCUCUCACUUUGUCAUUCUCUCUCACUUUCUUUCUGUCUGACUGCCUUUCUGUCUCUAUUGAUCUCUCUCUCUCUCUCUCUCUCUCUCUCUCUCUCUGGGAGUGCGUGCGUGGGGAGGACAGAGUGCGGUUCUGAGACAAAAUCUUUUCAAAAUGUUUGGUAAACAGAGCAAAUGAUGUACUGCACACAAUCAUACACAAAGAUCAAUCAUACUGUAUAAGACAGAUCUAUUACAGAGAAUCUGCAUCUAGUAAGGGACUUGUAUGACCAUGCGUAUGACUACAAGAUUGAAAUGGGGUUUUUACCAUUAGAUCAGGAGAAAGCUUUUGACCGGGUCGAACAUGUUUUUCUUUUUAACAUCCUAAAGGCUUUUGGUUUUGGUGAAAAUUGUAUCUCAAUGAUGAGGCUAUUAUACUCUGAAGCUACAUUUAUGAUAAAAGUGGCCGGUAGCUUAAGUACUGCUGUGAAGGCUCAGAGGGGUAUCAGGCAGGGCUGCCCCCUGUCGGGCCGACUUUACAGCAUAAUUAUUUAACCCCUGCUAUAUAAGCUUAGGAAAGAAUUGACGGGUCUACAAAUCGACACUCUAAACGGUCAACAACCCACCAAAUUAUCUGCAUAUGCGGAUGAUAUCACAGUCAUAUUGUGGUGUUUGUCUUUUAGAUGCUGGUGAGACAGAGACUGUGGAGGACUCUCCUCCUCCUGAGAGUUUCAGGCUGGACCACACACUAGUGUAAGCAUACCCACGGUUUCCUUUCACAACUGCGUAUCUGAGCGUGUCUUUAACACUGACCUGUGAUGUGUUUUGAUAGCACCCCUUAUUCAAGCUCCAUAAGGGAGAUGCUGAUGACAUUUGGGACCGCAACUUAUAAAGUUGGGCUUAAGGUGCACCCUAAUGAGCAGGACCCCCGUGUGCCUAUCAUGUGCUGGGGCAGCUGUUCUUACACCAUCCAGUCUAUAGAGAGAUUAUUGGUAGAUGAGGAGAAGCCUUGUUUGGAAGUUUACCCUGUAGACAGGUAUGACAACCCAACUUAUUGUCAUAUCUCAGCCCAGCCAGGACUCGGUUUCCAGAGAAGCAACACCCACUUCUAACAUGGCCGCUGAGGACUACACUUCCCACACACGCAUGCGCUCACCUCCCCGGAGUUCUGAUCACACACACCUGCAGCCAAUCACCUUGUCCACUCACCACGGCUUAUUAAGAGACUUUGGAUACAGAGACACUUUGUGAAGUAAAUGUUCAGCAGACUAGUUUCUCUGUCGUUCUCCAAGCGUUACCUGCUGUGUUUAUUCGAUAAGUGACUUUGACCUUUGCUUACGUCCCCGACCACGAUUUCUGUCUUGCCCCGUUUGUUUUGUUUGCAUGAUCGCCUGACCCUCGCUUGCUUCUUGAUUAUGGACUGUGUUCACCCCUCUGGAUUAUUCUGCCUGAACCUGCCGCCCGCUUCUGCUUCUGUAUUCCCCACGGAGACUAUUUGAGUUCCCUGGCUCAGUUUGGCUCUGCAUGCUGGACUGUCUCCUCUCACUCCUCUGUGCAAAAUCACUUCAUGCGUCUGUUGGUAGGUAUAUUUAUUUCAUUAUUUAUUUAUUUAUUUUUCUCUCACUUGUAGUCUUUUAGUUCUUUAACUGUGUGUGUGCGCGCGCGCGCUCCGUGCAGCACUUGUUCUUGCUCCCCAGGUGGAAAGUUCCCCCUGCAUUCUGGAUGUGGACAUGUUCCACUUAGUGGUGAGCUGAAAAGCUUGUUAAAUGAUACUUUAGGCACUAUUAAAUGUAUAUUAGCAUCAGAUUAGAGUAUCAUUGUUGUCCAGAAUCUAAACCUGUCUAUCUAACAGGUAAUUGUCUGUGAUUUCUUUGGCUGUAGUCUCUGCAUCAUGUUUUGUGUUUGUAUGUCGGGGGAGUCUGGUGCUGUCCUAUUCAGCAUUGCACUGCUUAGACUCCUCAGGGCUUAGUGUGGAUACUGCACACCUGCAUCUCUUCCACUUGGUCAUUGUUGCUCACCUGGUCCAGAUCCUCCUCACCUCUGUGCCAGGUUAGAGCAUAUUCUACUUAGAGCACGUACAACUUAACAAUAGAUGGUGAUCUGUGUUAUGUUGUCAUUUGUUUGUGUUUAUUAACCCUCGUUCUUACAAAUGAGUAAUAACGUGUUUCAGUAUGAAUGUUCUUUUGGGAUGUUUUUAUUGAGUGUGCUGUCAGGCACAGUUGUGUGGGAGUCAAUAAUGGGGCUGUCAAAGUAAUUCACUGCAGCCAAGAGUGUUAGAUUUGCGUAGGGAUUUAUUUUGUUGUUUUUUUUUUGGGGUUUGAACACAAUUUUUAAAAAGUGCUUAAAUUUAAUCCUAAAGAAAUGUUUCUAUACAUGCUGCAGUCCACGUGUGUUUUAUUUACUAUUUGUUUUUUUAUACUGUUUCAGUAUUUAGUAGACUUUGUUUUGUGAAUAGCAAUGGUUUUGUGUCCGAGUUGUCAUGUUUUGAGUUUUGCCAAAACUUGCUGCUUAUUAGAGAUGCCGAGCAAAGGUGCUUCAAAGUAUUGAGCAAAGGCUGUGAAUACUUAUGAACAUGUGCUUUUUUUGUUUUUUAUUUUUCAUAAAUUUCAUACUCAUAAAGAUUUCAAACAAACUUCUUUCAUGUUGUCAUUAUGGUGUGUUGUUUGUAGAAUUUUGAGGAAAAUAAUGAAUUUAAUCCAUGUGGGAAUACAGCUGUAACAUAACAAAAUGUGGAAAAAGUGACGCGCUGCGAAUACUUUCCGGAUGCACUGUAUAUAGUAUAUUGUAUGUAGUGAAACUGAUCUUGUUCUUUCCCUGUCCCCUAUCUAUCUGUAGGUGCUGGGGAAUGGGAAGUGCUGUGUGCAUAUGUGUCUGCCUCCUAACCUGCUCCAGCUCUAUUAUAAUCACCAGGAGCUUCUGGAUCCCCUGCUUCAGGGGUGAGAAACUUCAUAACUGAGCCGAGAAAUGACAGGUUUUCUGUGAAUGCUGAUGAUGCCAUAUCAUGUGUACACAUCAUUGAUUGUUUUGUAAUGGGUUGAGUGUGUUGUGUCCAUUUGUCCUGCAGGUGGUGCUCACAUCCAGGCAUGCAACAAUGUCUCCAGUCACCUGAAACCCUUAUAAGUUUUCCUCGGGAAUCCAAUAAGCUAAUUGAUGUGCCAGAGGAUUACUGUGCACUGAUCAACCAGGCUUUCAGCUUCACGUGAGUGUGUGUACUCUGAGUUGCCUUCAUUUAUACCCAGUAUCUGCUUAAUAGAAUAGAAUUCUGGUGGACAUCUCUAGUUAUUGCUUUUGUGUUUAUAACCUCCAUUGUUUUUGUAGCUGUCCUAAGUCAGAUGGAGUUAAGUCUUGAGCUCAAACUCUGUGCUUGGUGUGUGUCACGAUGCUGUGUUCUCAGAGCAGCUGCUGCCAGACUGAGCUGGAGGGUGAGGACGUUGGAGCAUGUACUGCACACACCUUUGUUUGCUGAGCUGGUGUUAGUAUUUUCCUCAGGGUGAGGGAGAAUCAGGUUCUUUUCCUGUACCUCGAUGACUAUGGAGAACUGUCCAAGGGCUCAGAUGGAGGAAUGCGCUACAGAAAGAUUCAGAAGCUCUGGCGCUAGCACAGCAUCACCGAGGAGAUGGGUCAUGCACAGGAAGCUAAUCAGACUCUGGAGAACAUUGACUGGGAGAUCCUGGAUUUUCUUGGCUAAUGCCAAAUCUAAACUAACCAGGGAUCUGCACAUUUACCUAGAAAUAGUGCAGAAUCUUGAACAUCAAUUAUUGAAACUGUUGAACAUUUCCUUUUUUUGUUUUUACAUUUCAAAAUUCUAAAAACUUGUUUAUUUCUAAUUUUAAAUAAUAAAAAAAUUCUUAAUCAAAAUAGACAAAUGUCAUAUUCUGAGAUAUUUCUAAAAGAAGUUCAGUGAUCCAUAACUAAUGGAUGCUGUAAUGUACAACUGUUCUGAGCACAUUUUCUGUUUUUCACUUGCAACCUACAGCCAAAAUCCCCAGUACUGACUGAACACAUCAAAUGCUGAGUUUACUUUUACAAUCUUGAAUUAACACCUCUGCUAACUGCGUCAUCACCUACAGUGCUGAAUUGACAGUUUACUUAACAGCCAUAAUGCUCACUGUUUACAAUACGAAUUAAAGAUUAUAUAAACCCUGGAAUUGUGAAUUAAGCACACUUUUGGUUAAAAGAGGGGG
Long non-coding RNA from Ictalurus furcatus (blue catfish), 5610 nucleotides. RefSeq lists it as uncharacterized. The transcript is spliced from 6 exons. NCBI's taxonomy places the organism in Eukaryota, Metazoa, Chordata, Actinopteri, Siluriformes, Ictaluridae. The record is from RefSeq and is a predicted model, not a curated record.